UGAUAACUUAUCGUUUACCGUUAGAGAUGGUUCAGGAAAAGAAGUAUGUAUAUUCGAAAAAGAUGAGCUUUCAAAUUCAUUUACAAUGAAAACAAAGGACAAAGAAAUAGGAAAAAUUCAGGAUACGUCCCAAUACUUUACAGAAGAAAAUACAGAUGCAAAAGAAUUUAUCAAGGAAAACAGAAGUGGAAUCACAAAUGAGUUCAAGCUGACUUUUUCAGAAAUACUGUCAGCUUCAGAAAAGGUUUUGAUUCUAGCUGGUUCUUUCCUUGCCGACAUUUUCUGUAUCGAUAAUGGACUGUUAAGAGAAAAGUAUUCAAACCAGCAGACUGGAG
Long non-coding RNA from Mytilus trossulus (common blue mussel), 335 nucleotides. RefSeq lists it as uncharacterized. The record is from RefSeq and is a predicted model, not a curated record. The transcript has 3 exons. NCBI's taxonomy places the organism in Eukaryota, Metazoa, Mollusca, Bivalvia, Mytilida, Mytilidae.